RNAcentral lists this ribosomal RNA (356 nucleotides) under Salmonella enterica subsp. enterica serovar Cubana. RNAcentral describes it as "partial 23S ribosomal RNA". It matches the Rfam family "Bacterial large subunit ribosomal RNA", at positions 1 to 394 of the family's 2925-position model. Lineage: Bacteria; Pseudomonadati; Pseudomonadota; Gammaproteobacteria; Enterobacterales; Enterobacteriaceae. The record is from RNAcentral.
GUUAAGCGACUAAGCGUACACGGUGGAUGCCCUGGCAGUCAGAGGCGAUGAAGGGCGUGCUAAUCUGCGAUAAGCGCCGGUAAGGUGAUAUGAACCGUUAUAACCGGCGAUACCCGAAUGGGGAAACCCAGUGUGACUCGUCACACUAUCAUUAACUGAAUCCAUAGGUUAAUGAGGCGAACCGGGGGAACUGAAACAUCUAAGUACCCCGAGGAAAAGAAAUCAACCGAGAUUCCCCCAGUAGCGGCGAGCGAACGGGGAGGAGCCCAGAGCCUGAAUCAGCAUGUGUGUUAGUGGAAGCGUCUGGAAAGGCGCGCGAUACAGGGUGACAGCCCCGUACACAAAAGCGCAUGUGC